Molecule: ribosomal RNA, 301 nt
Filed under: uncultured bacterium
Lineage: Bacteria
Description: partial 16S ribosomal RNA
Rfam family: Bacterial small subunit ribosomal RNA
Source: RNAcentral
CAGUAGCCGCGGUAAUACGAAGGGUGCAAGCGUUAAUCGGAAUUACUGGGCGUAAAGCGUGCGUAGGCGGUGAGUUAAGUCUGCUGUGAAAUCCCCGGGCUCAACCUGGGAAUGGCAGUGGAUACUGGCAGGCUAGAGUAUGGCAGAGGGGGGUGGAAUUCCGCGUGUAGCAGUGAAGUGCGUAGAUAUGCGGAGGAACACCGAUGGCGAAGGCAGCCCCCUGGGCCAAUACUGACGCUCAUGCACGAAAGCGUGGGGAGCAAACAGGAUUAGAUACCCGCGUAGUCCCUGUCUCUUAUAC